ACCUCGACGUCGGCUCUUUGCCACCUAGAGUUGUAGUAUGUUCCAAGGGUUGGGUUGUUCGCCCAUUAAAACGGUACGUGAGCUGGGUUCAUAACGUCAUGAGACAGUUU
RNAcentral lists this non-coding RNA (110 nucleotides) under Medicago truncatula (barrel medic). Its description in RNAcentral is "Bacterial large subunit ribosomal RNA". It matches the Rfam family "Bacterial large subunit ribosomal RNA", at positions 2523 to 2632 of the family's 2925-position model. The record is from Rfam by way of RNAcentral. Lineage: Eukaryota; Viridiplantae; Streptophyta; Magnoliopsida; Fabales; Fabaceae.